CAUAGGUUAAUGAGGCGAACCGGGGGAACUGAAACAUCUAAGUACCCCGAGGAAAAGAAAUCAACCGAGAUUCCCCCAGUAGCGGCGAGCGAACGGGGAGCAGCCCAGAGCCUGAAUCAGUGUGUGUGUUAGUGGAAGCGUCUGGAAAGGCGCGCGAUACAGGGUGACAGCCCCGUACACAAAAAUGCACAUACUGUGAGCUCGAUGAGUAGGGCGGGACACGUGGUAUCCUGUCUGAAUAUGGGGGGACCAUCCUCCAAGGCUAAAUACUCCUGACUGACCGAUAGUGAACCAGUACCGUGAGGGAAAGGCGAAAAGAACCCCGGCGAGGGGAGUGAAAAAGAACCUGAAACCGUGUACGUACAAGCAGUGGGAGCCUCUUUAUGGGGUGACUGCGUACCUUUUGUAUAAUGGGUCAGCGACUUAUAUUCUGUAGCAAGGUUAACCGAAUAGGGGAGCCGAAGGGAAACCGAGUCUUAACUGGGCGUUAAGUUGCAGGGUAUAGACCCGAAACCCGGUGAUCUAGCCAUGGGCAGGUUGAAGGUUGGGUAACACUAACUGGAGGACCGAACCGACUAAUGUUGAAAAAUUAGCGGAUGACUUGUGGCUGGGGGUGAAAGGCCAAUCAAACCGGGAGAUAGCUGGUUCUCCCCGAAAGCUAUUUAGGUAGCGCCUCGUGAAUUCAUCUCCGGGGGUAGAGCACUGUUUCGGCAAGGGGGUCAUCCCGACUUACCAACCCGAUGCAAACUGCGAAUACCGGAGAAUGUUAUCACGGGAGACACACGGCGGGUGCUAACGUCCGUCGUGAAGAGGGAAACAACCCAGACCGCCAGCUAAGGUCCCAAAGUCAUGGUUAAGUGGGAAACGAUGUGGGAAGGCCCAGACAGCCAGGAUGUUGGCUUAGAAGCAGCCAUCAUUUAAAGAAAGCGUAAUAGCUCACUGGUCGAGUCGGCCUGCGCGGAAGAUGUAACGGGGCUAAACCAUGCACCGAAGCUGCGGCAGCGACACUAUGUGUUGUUGGGUAGGGGAGCGUUCUGUAAGCCUGUGAAGGUGUGCUGUGAGGUAUGCUGGAGGUAUCAGAAGUGCGAAUGCUGACAUAAGUAACGAUAAAGCGGGUGAAAAGCCCGCUCGCCGGAAGACCAAGGGUUCCUGUCCAACGUUAAUCGGGGCAGGGUGAGUCGACCCCUAAGGCGAGGCCGAAAGGCGUAGUCGAUGGGAAACAGGUUAAUAUUCCUGUACUUGGUGUUACUGCGAAGGGGGGACGGAGAAGGCUAUGUUGGCCGGGCGACGGUUGUCCCGGUUUAAGCGUGUAGGCUGGUUUUCCAGGCAAAUCCGGAAAAUCAAGGCUGAGGCGUGAUGACGAGGCACUACGGUGCUGAAGCAACAAAUGCCCUGCUUCCAGGAAAAGCCUCUAAGCAUCAGGUAACAUCAAAUCGUACCCCAAACCGACACAGGUGGUCAGGUAGAGAAUACCAAGGCGCUUGAGAGAACUCGGGUGAAGGAACUA
This 1507-nucleotide ribosomal RNA is filed under the name Escherichia coli. RNAcentral describes it as "partial 23S ribosomal RNA". It matches the Rfam family "Bacterial large subunit ribosomal RNA", at positions 165 to 1715 of the family's 2925-position model. Lineage: Bacteria; Pseudomonadati; Pseudomonadota; Gammaproteobacteria; Enterobacterales; Enterobacteriaceae. The record is from RNAcentral.